Molecule: ribosomal RNA, 245 nt
Filed under: uncultured Terrimonas sp.
Lineage: Bacteria; Pseudomonadati; Bacteroidota; Chitinophagia; Chitinophagales; Chitinophagaceae
Description: partial 16S ribosomal RNA
Rfam family: Bacterial small subunit ribosomal RNA
Source: RNAcentral
GACGAAGGAUGCAAGCGUUAUCCGGAUUCAUUGGGUUUAAAGGGAGCGUAGGUGGCCUGCUAAGUCAGUGGUGAAAUCUCUGGGCUUAACCCAGAAAUUGCCAUUGAUACUGGUGGGCUUGAGUGCAGUUGCUGUUGGCGGAAUAUGACAUGUAGUGGUGAAAUACAUAGAGAUGUCAUAGAACACCGAUUGCGAAGGCAGCUAACAAAACUGUAACUGACACUGAGGCUCGAAAGUGUGGGGAU